CUUAUACUCCCUUCGUUCUAAAAUUUUUGUCUUACAUUAUCUAGAUAUGAAUGUAUCUAGUCAUGUUUUAGUAUUUAGAUACAUUCAUUUUUAAAUAAACUUAAGAAAAGAAUUAUAGGACGGAGGGAGUAUUUA
Molecule: non-coding RNA, 135 nt
Organism: Hordeum vulgare subsp. vulgare (domesticated barley)
Lineage: Eukaryota; Viridiplantae; Streptophyta; Magnoliopsida; Poales; Poaceae
Source: Rfam